CGACCGGCAAACGGGUGCGGAACACGUACACAACCUUCCUUUAAGUGGGGGAUAGCCCAGAGAAAUUUGGAUUAAUACCCCAUAAUAUUACCGGGUGGCAUCAUUUGGUAAUUAAAGCUUUGGCGCUUAGAGAUGGGUGUGCGUCUGAUUAGGUAGUUGGUUGGGGUAACGGCCCACCAAGCCAGCGAUCAGUAACUGGUGUGAGAGCACGACCAGUCACACGGGCACUGAGACACGGGCCCG
RNAcentral lists this ribosomal RNA (243 nucleotides) under uncultured bacterium. Its description in RNAcentral is "partial 16S ribosomal RNA". It matches the Rfam family "Bacterial small subunit ribosomal RNA", at positions 92 to 334 of the family's 1533-position model. The record is from RNAcentral.